This 72-nucleotide transfer RNA is filed under the name Camelus bactrianus (Bactrian camel). It matches the Rfam family "tRNA". From Rfam's summary of the family: Transfer RNA (tRNA) molecules are approximately 80 nucleotides in length. Their secondary structure includes four short double-helical elements and three loops (D, anti-codon, and T loops). The record is from Rfam by way of RNAcentral. Lineage: Eukaryota; Metazoa; Chordata; Mammalia; Artiodactyla; Camelidae. RNAcentral also lists the same sequence under 1 other name.
GGAGGUACAGCUCAGUGGCAGAGCGCAUGCUUAGCAUGCAUGAGGUCCUGGGUUCAAUCCCCAGUACCUCCA